CCUACGGGGUGCUGCAGUGAGGAAUAUUGGUCAAUGGACGAGAGUCUGAACCAGCCAAGUAGCGUGAAGGAUGACUGCCCUAUGGGUUGUAAACUUCUUUUAUAAAGGAAUAAAACGAGGCACGUGUGCCUUUUUGCAUGUACUUUAUGAAUAAGGAUCGGCUAACUCCGUGCCAGCAGCCGCGGUAAUACGGAGGAUCCGAGCGUUAUCCGGAUUUAUUGGGUUUAAAGGGAGCGUAGAUGGGUUGUUAAGUCAGUUGUGAAAGUUUGCGGCUCAACCGUAAAAUUGCAAUUGAUACUGGCAGUCGUGAGUACAGUUGAGGUAGGCGGAAUUCGUGGUGUAGCGGUGAAAUGCUUAGAUAUCACGAAGAACCCCGAUUGCGAAGGCAGCUUACUAAACUGUGACUGACAUUGAUGCUCGAAAGUGUGGGUAUCAAACAGGAUUAGAUACCCUAGUAGUC
Molecule: ribosomal RNA, 460 nt
Filed under: uncultured bacterium
Lineage: Bacteria
Description: partial 16S ribosomal RNA
Rfam family: Bacterial small subunit ribosomal RNA
Source: RNAcentral